This 335-nucleotide ribosomal RNA is filed under the name uncultured eukaryote. RNAcentral describes it as "partial 18S ribosomal RNA". It matches the Rfam family "Eukaryotic small subunit ribosomal RNA", at positions 1470 to 1796 of the family's 1831-position model. The record is from RNAcentral.
CCCUUAGACGUCCUGGACCGCACGCGCGCUACAAUGAUAGCUUUAAUGGGUUAAUAAACCUAAGCCGAGAAGGUUUUGGGAAAUCGUUAAAAGUAUUUGGUUUUCAUAGUGGGGAUCAACUAUUGUAACUAGUAGUUGUGAACUAGGAAUUCCUGGUACUUAGAUUUCACCAGAAUCUAGGGAUUACGUCCCUGCCCUUUGUACACACCGCCCGUCGCUACUACUGAUUGGACGGUUAAGCUAGAUGCUGGGAGACUUUCUUUUGUGACUUCGGUUGCAACUGAAGGGCAAACAGCUUCAAGCUGAACUGGCUAGAGGAAGUAAAAGUCGUAACA